Non-coding RNA from Cinara cedri, 276 nucleotides. The record is from the annotation of a GenBank genome assembly. NCBI's taxonomy places the organism in Eukaryota, Metazoa, Arthropoda, Insecta, Hemiptera, Aphididae.
AAACCAUCAGAGUAUGAUAUCGAUGAGAAUACAUAAAAUGUUUACAUAAUAUUAUUAGCUUGAAUUAUUGUUUUCUUACAAUUAAUGGAAAGACUGUGUACUACUGCAGAUGAAUCAACAACAGCAACUGAAAUAUUUUACAUAAACAUAUACAUAGUAUUUUAGGUACCUAUUCGAUUUAUUGUUGAAAUACUACAAAAAGUAAUUGUUUCCAUUAUAAAACAAAACGCUCCUCUCCACGCGAUGAAAAAUGUAAUCAUAUUUAAUAUGUUUGAA